GAACGCUAGCUACAGGCUUAACACAUGCAAGUCGAAGGGAAACGAUAUUGGAAGCUUGCUUCUGAUAGGCGUCGACCGGCGCGACGGGUGAGUAACGCGUAUCCAACCUGCCCAUCACUUGGGGAUAACCUUGUGAAAGUAAGACUAAUACCCAAUGACGUCUCUAGAAGACAUCUGAAAGAGAUUAAAGAUUUAUCGGUGAUGGAUGGGGAUGCGUCUGAUUAGCUUGUUGGCGGGGUAACGGCCCACCAAGGCGACGAUCAGUAGGGGUUCUGAGAGGAAGGUCCCCCACAUUGGAACUGAGACACGGUCCAAACUCCUACGGGAGGCAGCAGUGAGGAAUAUUGGUCAAUGGACGAGAGUCUGAACCAGCCAAGUAGCGUGCAGGAUGACGGCCCUAUGGGUUGUAAACUGCUUUUAUAAGGGAAUAAAGUGGGAGUCGUGACUCUUUUUGCAUGUACCUUAUGAAUAAGGACCGGCUAAUUCCGUG
This 490-nucleotide ribosomal RNA is filed under the name uncultured bacterium. Its description in RNAcentral is "bacterial SSU rRNA". It matches the Rfam family "Bacterial small subunit ribosomal RNA", at positions 31 to 507 of the family's 1533-position model. The record is from RNAcentral.